ACGAGAAAAGGCAGCAGGAAGCAUUGCUGGCUUGGGAGCGCUGAUGUGUUGUAGAACAGCAUAUUUAAGAACAUUGCCGUGUGACCUGACGGCCUGCACUGCCCGUUGCAUUUUCUUCUGUGUCACAUCAUAAUAAAAAACAACAAUCACAUCAUUUUGAAUUAUAAAUGAUUAAAAGAUGAUUUUUAUGCAUCAUAUCAAUUUGCUUACUGCUUUAAAUGCUCAACCUAUGAAUAGUGCACUAAACCAAAAUCUCAGACAACAUAUGUUCGGCAUAGAAUCCGUGACAAGAAACAUUAGCCUCAAAACAGCAUCCAACUCAAACCAUUUCAUACAAGCAGAAACAGAAAUGGAGAGAUAUUAACAUGGCAUAUAAAUGAAAGUAAGUUUUUACCCGUAUUCAAGGAAAAAAAAGAAAGUUUUUACCAACAUAUAUCAAGAAGCAACCAGGCAGUCAAGGUCAUUGAUCAAGUUGCACCAAGUAAUUCACCUUGUCAGAAGUAGGGGGAGUCCAGUACAAAGAAAAACAGAGACAAGGAAAUAAACAAAUACUUAUUGCUUGCUCUCAAUUUAACAACAAUGAGGUGAGCUUGGUUAAAAUAAGGAUGUUUCCAUACAAAGCAAGUUCACGACCAUGAGCUGGUCUAGACUCUAGACAGAGAAAUGGGAAGAAAGCAAUACAACGAUUGGAUAAUUGAAGGUGCUUCAUCAAUAAUGCAGGCACGGCACUGUUCCAGAUAAACAAACAAAUCCUAUCUCAAUCAUAGUGGAAAAUUCUAUUCCGAUCUUUUUAGGAACACAAUACCAAAGGCAGUUCGUUUUUCAAAUUGCUGCCAUCAUGAAAGGGAUGUCUAGCAUAUCACUUUGUUUUCUGACGAGUAAAUAGUGGGAGAAGAAAACAACUACACACCACCACCACCCGAUAACAGAACCAAAUACUUCGUCUUGCUAGCAACAUGACGACAUGCCAUAUUGUACCUAUAGAUCAGCAUCUGUGCUGACACAGUAUUAGCAACAUGCCAGCGAUAUAUUCAGCCAGUCACAGUGCCACUCAAAAUAUAUUCAGCUUGGGCGCAGAGAGAGAGAGAGAGAGAGAGAGAGAGAGAGAGAGAGAGAGAGAGAGAGAGAGAGAGAGGUAGUAUGCCGUAUGCGUCGACACCUUUUGGCAGGCCUGUAUUCUGGAUUUCAGACAAUUGAGCCCACUAAUGUAUUACAAGAAUAUAGCAUGGACUGGGUCCAUGACAUUGGGUUCGGUUUUCUGUCACUAUCAAACCAAUAAGGAAUCACCACCAAACAGAGAAUCCAAAUAAUGGCGUCUCCACUCAGGACACUGAACUCCAUACACGAACUCGACUGUCUCCAUGACAUUUAAUUCGGGUUUAUGAAAUCAUUGCAGAUACGAACAAACGAAUCAUAAACUCAUGCCUGUCUCGGAAACAAUUCUGAGCCAAGUAGAGUUUUUUGUUUUCUUUUAACAGAAGAAGAAGAAGAAAGUUUUAAAAAGCAGUAAUGCAGCAGGCCGCCUCACCGAUACAAAACUGAAAUCUCUAAACAGCGCCAACGGAAAACAAAGGAAAGAAGGAAAACUCCACCCCCUCCUCUAUCAGAGGCUGUAGAUACAAACUCGAUCUGCAUCUACUGCGAGGGGAGGGGUAAAAAGCGAAUAAGCAGUCUAUGUGCACCGAUAAAGAUACCAAACGGAAGGCAUCGAUAUUCGAUACGGUGCCUCAGGCCACAGCUAAUAGCCAAACAAAUGAGAACAUGGAUCCUCUAGCGGGGAAUGAACAGAUCAGGCACUGAAUAGCCAGAGAAGCGAAGUAGAACAUGUCCUUUCGUCGUCUUUCGUCCCAUUUGCUACCCAGCAACGUUCUCUCUUCUUUUCUUUGCCUAAAACCUCAUCUCCUUCUACUGUAUAAACCAAGAGCAGAGUUCCUCGCAGAGGAAGAGAGCAGACCGUGAAGAAACCAAGGGGGAAAAAAAGGGAUAAUAGUCUUCUCACAAAGCGAGACCACCGUAAACGUCGAGCUAGCUUUCCUCGCGGAAAAAACUUGUCUUUUUUUUUUCUUCCUUUUGGUACGAAACGGGCGAGCAGAUACGCUAGCUCACGUUCUUUUACAGCGUAAUACGAGCAGGAGCAGACCAUCCCGUGUAGAAAUCUAGAGCGAGAAAGCCAGAAAGGACGCUCUCAACGGCAACGCACGGGUAGCUGUAGCUUAGCUUUACCCCGAUCCAAAGCAGGUAACACUAGUUCCACCGGAAACGCCUCUCAAGGCUCCUCUAGACUUGCAGAGCAGGCAGAGUUCACGGUUGGGGGGGCAUCGAUCUCCCCCGUUUAGCAUAGGCUUAAGCAAAAAGGGUGUUGGGUUCUUCUGGUGCUUUACCUGCUCGAGCCGAGCGGAGCCGAAGCGAAGCCUGCGCCGCAGUGGAGAGACGGGGUUGGGGGUGGUGGGGACUUGGGAGUGGAGUGGAGGAGGAAGAUGGAGGAAGGACACUUGUUACGCUGGGGAGGCGAGGGUGCGUGGCGACGAGCGCUGAUUUAAUAAAAGCGAC
Molecule: long non-coding RNA, 2550 nt
Filed under: Zea mays
Lineage: Eukaryota; Viridiplantae; Streptophyta; Magnoliopsida; Poales; Poaceae
Description: long non-coding RNA (ZMAY_LNC000122)
Source: RNAcentral